CACGCCGUAAACGAUGGGUACUAGAUGUGGGAGGUGUCGACUCCUCCCGUAUCGUCGCUAACGCAGUAAGUACCCCGCCUGGGGAGUACGGCCGCAAGGCUAAAACUCAAAGGAAUUGACGGGGGCCCGCACAAGCAGCGGAGCAUGUGGUUUAAUUCGACGCAACGCGAAGAACCUUACCUGGGCUUGACAUGUAUGUGACCGCCAUAGAGAUAUGGCUUCCCUUCGGGGCACAUUCACAGGUGG
Molecule: ribosomal RNA, 246 nt
Filed under: uncultured bacterium
Lineage: Bacteria
Description: partial 16S ribosomal RNA
Rfam family: Bacterial small subunit ribosomal RNA
Source: RNAcentral